Molecule: ribosomal RNA, 458 nt
Filed under: uncultured bacterium
Lineage: Bacteria
Description: partial 16S ribosomal RNA
Rfam family: Bacterial small subunit ribosomal RNA
Source: RNAcentral
GAUAAACGCUGGCGGCGUGCAUGAGACAUGCAAGUCGAACGAAGGAUCGGGCUUGCUCGAUCCUUAGUGGCGGACGCCUGAGUAACGCGUGGUUAACCUACCCCGAAGGGGGGAAUAACUGCCCGAAAGGGGGGCUAAUACCCCAGGUGGUCGCACGUUAUUUGGUGGGAGUAAAGCCGCAAGGCGCUUCGGGAGGGGCCUGCGUCCGAUUAGCUCGUUGGUGGGGUAAUGGCUUACCAAGGCGACGAUCGGUAGGUGGUCUGAGAGGACGAUCACCCAGACUGGGACUGAGACACGGCCCAGACUCCUACGGGAGGCAGCAGUCGGGAAUUUUGCUCAAUGGGGGAAACCCUGAAGCAGCAACGCCGCGUGAGGGAUGAAGGCCUUCGGGUUGUAAACCUCUUUUGUCAGGGACGAUGAUGACGGUACCUGGCGAAUAAGCCACGGCUAACUACGUG